RNAcentral lists this unclassified non-coding RNA (5512 nucleotides) under Hevea brasiliensis (rubber tree). Lineage: Eukaryota; Viridiplantae; Streptophyta; Magnoliopsida; Malpighiales; Euphorbiaceae. The record is from RNAcentral.
CUUGAACGGACCAGGACAGUUGAAGCUGGUUGGAACUUGGAAAGUCCUAAGGUUCAACCUGAAGGCUGAAAAGCCCAAUUAUAAAUUCUGCAGUUUCUCUCCAGUUUUCCUUUUCGUUUUGUUAUGCCUUUUCUUGUUUGUGGUGGUGGAGGAAUGCGAUGAGAGUCUCCUAUUUGUUUUCAAAUCCCUUUUCUUUCUGUGCUUCUUUCCCAUUCAUAUCUUAACCAACCAAACCUAAUUCACUCGCGUCGCUAUCUUUUUUUCCGUAGCCACGGCGUUGCACCUGGCGCGAGGAACAAUUUGGGAAUCUUGAAAUUGCGACGAACAAACGUAGGAGAUGGGGUCACCAAAUGAUAAUGCCAAUUGGGUAUUUGAUUAUGGAUUGAUAUAGGAUAUUACUGUCCCUGGAGGUGACCUCCUGUCUAUUGACCCCUCCGGAGGACUCUGUUCUUGUCCUUCCUUCACUGAUAAUGCCUCUUUAAGGUUUAUGGAAUUGGGUGCUCUCCUGGAUUCUGGGAGGCCUCCUACAAUGGAGAAAUCUGCCAUGUUGACUGAUGCUUUGAAAGUGGUGAAUCAGCUACAGGAUGAAGCUCAGAAGCUGAUGGAUUCAAAUGAUUCUGCAGGAUAAGAUCAAUGAAUUAAAGGUUGAAAAGAGUGAGCUCCGCUAUGAAAAGCAAAGACUAAAGACAGAGAAAGAGAACCUUGAGCAGCAAGUAAAAACCUUUGAGUUCUGGAGCAAGAUUUUUUGCUCAUCCUCCUGCCAUCCCAUCUCCAUUUUCUUCCCCCCGUCAAGUUGUUGGUAGCAAGUUGUUACCUUUUGUUGGCUAUCCUGGAGCUCGGAUGUGGCGGCUUAUGCCUCCUGCUACUGUUGAUACCUCAAAGGAUCCUGUUUUACGCUCUCCAGCUGCUUAAGUGGCAUGAGUUUUGGUUCUGCAUUCCUUCAACAGGCGGAAGAAUUUUUGGCCUGCGUUGAUGUUAAUUCCUAUCGGUUGUCAUGUACUGUAGUGGUUCCAUUUUUUCUUCUUUUAGUCUUAUGUUGAGGUUUAUUUUUGUUUCUCUCCUUUUUCGUUUAUUUUAGUAUAUCUUUUGUUCAAUUUCAAGUCCUAAGAUCUUUAUAAUUGCAUGAAUAUUAGAUUGUUCAAGUAAAAUGAAACUUAGAUAAUUAUUUGUUGUAUGUUUACGUUCACUGAAGUACAAAACUUGCAAAACAUCUUUAAAAUCAGUUAUGAUAUCUCUGCCUGCCUGAAAUUAUACUUCUUAUAUAUCCCCUAGCCAUUUCCCUUUGUCUAAUAGAUCUGUGGAAAAACAGCCGACUGGAGAAACUCGACAUUGCAUAUUAGAACUCAAAUCAAAAGCCUAAAUUACAUCAUUAUGCUUGAUAAAGGGAAUAAGGGAAGUUCCAACAGCUAAGUGUCUGCUUUUGUCUAUUAUCUACUUUUUUCGUAUAGAGCUAGCCACUCAAAAACGUAGUUCUUUCCAUUUUUUCAACAGGGGAAUUUGAAGCCCAUGUUGUUGCCAGAUUUAUAAUCUCUCAACACAUCAAUAGCUCCAAAGCUGGUUAUUAGAAUUGUACUCAAUGCCAUCACAAUACCAACUGAGAAGACAAUUAUAGAAGCCCUGCCAUAUUCUUGUAUGGUUCUUUGUACUACCAGCAAUCCAAGGAGUGAAGCAACGAAACAUAUAGCUGCGAAGAUAAGGGCGGUGUCUGUGUGCUCCAUUCCGAAUAAUAGGUACUGAAACGAAGACAUGGUAGAUGAAAAGAAGACCAUAAAGGAACAAGUUGCUGCAGUUACCUGGAAAAUGAGGAUCCAUGCUGUGAAAAUUAUUGCCAGAGGAAUUUGAAGUGAUGAAAUAAUCCAAUAUUUUACUCCACAUGGCUUCAUUCGUGCAAUGCCCUGCGCAUAGUUUGAGAUGUGAAUGAAAAUGACCAGGUGAGUUCUAUUUCUUCAUUUUUUUUUCUUUUUGGAACCUGAAAUUUUUUCGUUAUAUUGCUAAGCAUUGUGAAUGAAAAUGACAGUAAUAAAUAAAUUAAAAAAAAAGAAAAUGACUAAUAAAAUGUAUUGAUAAGACCGAUUUUAUUUGUCUGUUAUGAUUGAUACUCUAGCAUUUUGCAAGAACCAUAUAUGUGCUUCACCUAUGCCUUUGAGAAGUCCAAAUCCAAGUAUAUUUCAUUUAUUCCAAUUUUGCAUAGAGAAAGGGACAUUUGUCACUUUGAUUUUUCCUGGACUUAUCUAGACCCCAGCAUCAAGGUCCUCAGUUCCUUGCAUAAUGAAUAAGAACAGGAGCCUGACAACAAAUGGAUGGACUACCACCUGGUAUAUGCAAAGUUCUUUGAACUAUCUUACAAAAGUUGGAAUCUUUAAGUAGUGGCUGCAGAAUAUGGCCAAAUGCCGUCUGCUUUACUAUUUUUCUAACCCACAACUCUUUCUUGGUGCUACCAGUGGUCCUAAACAGGGGCAAGUAGACACAUCACAAUAAAGAGGGACCAUAUCUGGUAGAUAUUCUCUGGCUAGAGGACUGAGGUUAGGAAUUCCACAACUAAAACUCUAUACCAUGGUUGCUUACGUUUAAGUUUUUCUAAUCUUGAGCUUUCCUACUGGUAUGAGAACAUGACAGCUUUAUUAUUUGCAGUAAUUAACCAAAAGACCUUCUUGUUAACAACAUCUCGGUCAUAAAUCUGAACGAGGCGUAACAAUCUAAAUCACUGAUCUCAACAUUUUUAAUUUAAAAAGAGGAAUAGCAUUUAAUGAGGAGAAUUCUAGAAGGUAUAAAUCAGUGCAUACCUCUCCAUAACGAUUGCCACGAAGAAGAUAAAGGAAAAAGAAAGAGAACCAGACCAACAGUAAGAGCCCCAAUUUCUGCCAUGGAAAACCCAACUUGUUUUCCAUUUCUAAACCCACAAGAGGCUUUUUGUUGCUCUUGAUCACUUCACUUGUAAAACUAAACCCAUCUUUAACCAACAAACUUUCCAAAUUUUCAUUACCAUUUCUCAUCAUCUCUUCUGAUUCCAUUCUCCAGUGCAGAACCCCAUUCUUGCAAGUCUUGCAAGUAGACCAAACAAGGAAAAUAACAAACAAAAUUGUGAUAAGCCACUCUGGGAAAAUUAAAUUACAAAUUACCCCAACACUAACUCCUAGCAACAUGCAGGGCUCUGAUAAAAGUGCAAUAUCGUAGUCAAUCAAAGCUUUACCACCAAAUUUGGGACUACAGAGGUUACACAUGACAUUAGCAAUAGACCCUCCAGUAACCAUAAAAGCUGAGAAGCUUGAAGCUGUUUUGAGGUCUAGACCUGCCACUAUAAUCAGUAUGGGAAUAAACAAACCUCCACCCCCAAUGCCACCUGCACUAGAUAUAGAAGCAGCUAUGAAGCAUAAAAUUCCUGCUAGCAGUGUAGGGGGUGCUAGUUUCAGUGUUGGUUCUUGGGGUUGAAUCUGCUGAUGAACCCAGUGAGCAACUUUGUUAAGAAACUGGUCAGUUUUGAGAACAGUGGAAAGGGGUUGUGUUUGUUCUGCAUUAGAUUGGCAAAAAGUGAUUAAAAUGGCAAGGGAGAGAGUGAGACCUGCUAAGGUAUUGAUAGUCUUCAUUUGGUUAAAGCUUUUGGUGGUGUGUUGUGGUAUGUCAACAAUGAGUUGCAAAGGUGUCUUUAUAUGAGGAAGAAGGAUCUGGUGUUGCGUGGCAUUAGUGAAGAAAAGACAAGAGAAGGCUACAACAAUAUGAUAAAAAAAAUUAUUUUAAACAAACUUUUGUGCUGCUACCUUCUUCCACUGGGCACUAAUCUACUGGUAACAUACUUACUGCUGCAAUUUACAAUGUAGCUUAUUUGGAAGCUAGGAUCAGAAAUCAGUGGAUGAGCACCAUUCAUGGAUGUGGACAUUAAAUUAUUUUUAAUAUGUUUAAGACAAAUAAAAGGGCCUUUUCUUAAUAAUAAUUAUUAUUAUUUUGAAAAAAUAUUGAAAGAUACUCAUAAUACUGAUUAAAAUACCUGCUUCAGAUAGAUUAAAAUAUAUCAAACAGAAGAUUUCUUUUAUUUCUUUUGGUUUUAAAUAAUAUAAUUACACAUAACAAAUUAACAAGUACAUGAACUCUGCUUUCAGACAAGUGACAAAUACAUCCUCAAAACAUUUAAAUAAUUAGUGAAUUUUUUUUUUCUUACAUAUAAACUCUGCUUGCCAGAAUGCAUCCAUGUCUGAUUAUACAAAGAAUAAUCUGUUUUAAUGUCUCAAAUAUGUCAUCUUGUCCCUUGAGCUGUACGCAAGAAUGGAUCAUGUCUAGUAGUUUUGUUAUGGAUAUCCAGAUUAGGGUAGAGCUGAAGGAGCUAGCCUUUUAAUUAAUUAGUCACCUUUAGCCACUCUUUGGUCUUUCUUUCUUUUCUUUUUCUUUUUAUCCCCUUAAUUUUUUUUCUUGGAAAUUUGAAUUUCAGCAAAUGACCAAAUUGGAAAGUCAGACAUCGUUCCUUCAAGAUCAGAAAUCUCAUUGGAGGAUCUCAUUUAACCAUAUAUACCAUCUCAUCUAGGUCUGUUCCAUCGUAACUUCAAGACACAAUAUGUAUGAUAAAAUCAAUAUGUAAAAUAAAUGAGACAUAAAUUUGCGUUUUGAAUUUAUUAUGAAUCCAAAUCUAGGUAAGUUUUUCUUCUCAUUCCAUCACUUCGCCUUGAAGCACAACACUUAUAUUGCUCUCCUAUAAUCCCAUUUUCACAAUUUAGGCUGCUCUCAUUUUGCUUGCCAUCACUACGAGAAUUGUUUUUGCUUUUUUUUUCUCUGAUUAUUAAGAUGUUUCAGUUCGAUAGGUGUUCUAUUGCCUGCCCAUGGAUUCAGCAACAAUUUGAAAGGUUAACUUAUCAGAAAUUUUCGGAUAUACUCUUAUUUUCAACUUCUCAAAGCAUUUCAUUACUUAUUACGCCCUUCCUCGUCUGUGGGUGCUUUGGUAUCCAUUGUAAGCCUUUCCUCCUUUGGAUCUCACCCUUAACUUUAAGGCUAUGUCAUCUUAAGUUUGAGUGCCCAUCUUAUAAACUAUAGCACUCCAUUUUAUUUUAUGAAGCUAGAAAUAAUUACAUCUUUAAUCUCAAACUGUUUAGAAUCGAUUAUAUUGAUUUUUCUUUUGACAUUCAACUCUAUUAAAUAUUAAGUUAGAAAGAUGUUACAUAUAUAUAAAAUCAGGAGUCCCAUUUGAACCAUGUUCAAAUAAUUUUCUUUCUGUUAAAAGGACAAGUUUAUAUGCACGUGACAUGAAGGUGCAGGGUCUGUCUCAUUCGUAUCUUACCAAUGGGAAGAGAAUAUGGUAUACUCACCUGGUACAUAACAAAAUCCAUGGUAUUUGGGAAACCAAAAGAAACAGGAAACUCUCUGGAAGUUUCAUUUCUGAACAAUCUGUUGAAGAAAAGGAAAGAAAAGGAGGACAAAGACAACUGAAGUGGGGUUGGUUCUCUCUGUAUACAGUGAAACACUAGACAUGUAAUUUCCAUCAAAAUUAUAAUGCUGCCUCCACCGCACAAAACAGCUAAUAUCCUCUUUG